Molecule: ribosomal RNA, 491 nt
Filed under: uncultured bacterium
Lineage: Bacteria
Description: bacterial SSU rRNA
Rfam family: Bacterial small subunit ribosomal RNA
Source: RNAcentral
AUUGAACGCUGGCGGCGUGCCUAACACAUGCAAGUCGAGCGGUAACAGGUGUAGCAAUACAUGCUGACGAGCGGCGAACGGGUGAGUAAUGCUUCGGAAUCUGCCCAUGUAGUGGGGAAUAACCAGCCGAAAGGUUGGCUAAUACCGCAUACGACCUACGGGUGAAAGCAGGGGAUCGCAAGACCUUGCGCUAUUGGAUGAGCCGAAGUCGGAUUAGCUUGUUGGUAGGGUAACGGCCUACCAAGGCGACGAUCCGUAGCUGGUCUGAGAGGACGACCAGCCACACUGGGACUGAGACACGGCCCAGACUCCUACGGGAGGCAGCAGUGGGAAUNUUGGACAAUGGGGGCAACCCUGAUCCAGCGACGCCGCGUGUGUGAAGAAGGCCUGCGGGUUGUAAAGCACUUUUAGUGGGGAUGAAAAGCACAUGGCUAAUAUCCGUGUGUCUUGACCUAACCCAAAGAAAAAGCACCGGCUAACUCUGUGCCAGC